This 433-nucleotide ribosomal RNA is filed under the name uncultured bacterium. RNAcentral's name for it is "partial 16S ribosomal RNA". It matches the Rfam family "Bacterial small subunit ribosomal RNA", at positions 28 to 507 of the family's 1533-position model. The record is from RNAcentral.
GACGAACGCUGGCGGCAUGCCUAACACAUGCAAGUCGAACGAGACCUUCGGGUCUAGUGGCCCACGGGUGCGUAACGCGUGGGAACCUGCCCUUAGGUUCGGAAUAACUCCCCGAAAGGGGUGCUAAUACCGGAUAAUGUCUUCGGCCCAAAGAUUUAUCGCGCUUGGUUGGGCCCGCGUUGGAUUAGCUGGUUGGGAGGGUAAAAGCCUAUCAAGGCGACGAUCCAUAGCUGGUCUGAGAGACUGAUCAGCAACACUGGGAGUGGGACGCGGCCCAGACUCCUACGCGAGGCAGCAGUGGGGAAUAGUGGACAGUGGGCGAAAGCCUGAUCCAGCAAUGCCGCGUGAGUGAUGAAGGCCUUAGGGUUGUAAAGCUCUUUUACCCGGGAUGAUAAUGACAGUACCGGGAGAAUAAGCUCCGGCUAACUCCGUG